GACGAACGCUGGCGGCGUGCUUAACACAUGCAAGUCGAACGGAAAGGCCCUGCUUUUGUGGGUUGCUCGAUUGGCGAACGGGUGUGUAACACGUGAGUAACCUGCCCUUGACUUUGGGAUAACUUCAGGAGACUGGGGCUAUUACCGGAUAUGAUCUCCUGCUGCAUGGUGGGGGUUGGAAAGUGUCGGCGGUUGUGGAUGGACUCGCGGCUUAUCAGCUGCUUGGUGUGGUAGUGGCUUACCAAGGGUUUGACGGGUAGCCGGCCUGGGAGGGGGACCGGCCACAUUGGGACUGAGAUAGGCACCAGACGCCAAUGGGAGGCAGCAGGCGAGAGUAUUGCACAACGGGCGGAAGCCAGAUGCAGAAAUGUCGCGUGCGGGAAACCGGGUUACGGGUUGUGAACAGCUUUGGCAUGUGCCGAAGACUGAGUGACGGUAACGGGUCAAGAAGCACCGGCUAACUACGUG
This 468-nucleotide ribosomal RNA is filed under the name uncultured bacterium. RNAcentral describes it as "partial 16S ribosomal RNA". It matches the Rfam family "Bacterial small subunit ribosomal RNA", at positions 28 to 507 of the family's 1533-position model. The record is from RNAcentral.